UACAGAGGCCCCAAGCGUUACUGAGAAUCACUGGGUUUAAAGGGUGCGUAGGUGGUCCGUUAAGUUCGUUGUGAAAGCCCUGGGCUCAACCCAGGAACUGCUUCGAAUACUGGCGGACUUGAGGCGAGUAUGGGUCACUGGAACUGACGGUGGAGCGGUGAAAUGCGUAGAUAUCGUCAGGAACGCCAAUGGUGAAGACAGGUGACUGGGCUCGAUCUGACACUGAGGCCCGAAAGCGUGGGGAGCGAACGGG
This 253-nucleotide ribosomal RNA is filed under the name uncultured bacterium. Its description in RNAcentral is "partial 16S ribosomal RNA". It matches the Rfam family "Bacterial small subunit ribosomal RNA", at positions 524 to 776 of the family's 1533-position model. The record is from RNAcentral.